Molecule: unclassified non-coding RNA, 279 nt
Filed under: plant metagenome
Description: partial contains small subunit ribosomal RNA, internal transcribed spacer 1, and 5.8S ribosomal RNA
Source: RNAcentral
UCUCCGUUGGUGAACCAGCGGAGGGAUCAUUACAGAGUUGCAAAACUCCCAAAACUUUGUGAAGGUUACCUCUACCGGUGCCUAGGCGGGCGGCCCGGGCUCCGCGCCCCGCGCCCCCUCGCUCCCCGCGGGCGCCCGCCGGAGGACAAGCAAACCAAGGAUUUGCAUGGUCUAUCUGCGUCGACUGUACUGAACAAGGCAAAACAAACCACAACGGAAAUCUUGGGUCUCGCAUCGAUGAAGAAAGCAGCAGAUCGGAAGAGAAAAGGUCCGAACUGC